CAAGUAGGACAAAUGGUCGCGGCUGUCUUUAUGACAGGUGAGGAAAGUCCGGGCUUCACAGGGCAGGAUGCCGGAUAACGUCCGGUGGAGGCGACUCCAAGGAAAGUGCAACAGAAAUGUACCACCGUCAUGUCAUGCAUGACGGCCAGGGUGGAAGGGCAGUGUAAGAGACUACCGCCUGUCUGGUAACAGACAGGGCACAUGUAAACCCCAUCCGAAGCAAGACCAAACAGAAAGCGUUUGAACCGGCCCGGUGAGCUUUCAGGUAGGUUGCUUAAGACUGCUGGCAACAGCAGUAUUAGAUAGAUGACCAUUCAACGACAUAACCCGGCUUAUCGUCCUGCUUGAUAU
RNAcentral lists this RNase P RNA (351 nucleotides) under Lachnospiraceae bacterium OM04-12BH. RNAcentral describes it as "Bacterial RNase P class A". It matches the Rfam family "Bacterial RNase P class A". From Rfam's summary of the family: Ribonuclease P (RNase P) is a ubiquitous endoribonuclease, found in archaea, bacteria and eukarya as well as chloroplasts and mitochondria. Lineage: Bacteria; Bacillati; Bacillota; Clostridia; Lachnospirales; Lachnospiraceae. RNAcentral also lists the same sequence under 1 other name. The record is from Rfam by way of RNAcentral.